UCUCUGUUAGUAUAUCGGUUAGUACACGCGCCUGUCAUUCACUUGGCCGCGCGAAAGCGGGGUUCGACUCCCCGACAGAGAG
Macrolepiota fuliginosa MF-IS2 is the source of this 82-nucleotide non-coding RNA. Lineage: Eukaryota; Fungi; Basidiomycota; Agaricomycetes; Agaricales; Agaricaceae. The record is from the annotation of a GenBank genome assembly.